UGCUGGAUUUGCGGAGGUUUAAUUGCGGGGGUUAUUAUAACCUCCGCAAAAUUAUACUAAUUGUGGAGGUUAGUGUAGGCCCCGCUAUUUUUCAUUAGAUUUGCGGGGUUUUAACCUCCGCUAGACCUAUUAAAAAAAGGGCGCCACAACUAUAUACCCAGAACCUCAUUUUUUUAAUUUUGCCCCUCAUUUUUUGCCAAACCCAGAACACUCUCUCUCUAAAAUUUCUCCACUCUCACACUCUCUCUCUCUAAAAUUCCCCCAAAUCGCUCAUAUUUUCAGAUUUCUUAGAAAAUCUAAGGUUGAAGAUCCAAAAUCAAUGUUGAAAAGCAAAAAUCAAUGUUGAAAAUAUAAGAUUUCUUCAAGUUUCUACUGAUUUUCAGCCAAGUGAUGCCGCUAGUGGACACGUUUCACCCACGGACGUAAGAAGAUCAUUUGGUGGCAGUAAUCAUAAUGACAACUAAUGAAGUUCCUUGCAAUUGUAUUAGACAAUUAAGUAUGGUAGUUGAUUGAAUGGACAUAGCAGAUCCUUUAUGAUUAAUGGUUUGAGUGGAUGUGUUUAAUGUUAGUUUUUGAGACUAAUGAGAAUACUGAUGUUGGAGUGGAUGUGUUUAAUGUUAGGUUUGAGAGUAAUUAUAAUACUUGCUUUAUGUUAAUGUCAAUAUGGCUUAAUAAUACAUUGAUGUUACUU
Molecule: long non-coding RNA, 691 nt
Organism: Lycium ferocissimum
Lineage: Eukaryota; Viridiplantae; Streptophyta; Magnoliopsida; Solanales; Solanaceae
Exons: 2
Source: RefSeq, a predicted model, not a curated record